MicroRNA precursor from Danio rerio (zebrafish), 82 nucleotides. Ensembl annotates it as microRNA 430a-17. Its record names the gene dre-mir-430a-17. NCBI's taxonomy places the organism in Eukaryota, Metazoa, Chordata, Actinopteri, Cypriniformes, Danionidae. The record is from Ensembl.
GUCUCUAUCGGUACCCUCACAAAAGCACUGACUUUGAUGCUGUAUUUGGUAAGUGCUAUUUGUUGGGGUAGUUUUAAGUGAC